UCCGAAUCAAUAAAACACAGGAAAUCGAAGUAAAUUGAAGAGAAUCAUGGACAAAAUCGAUCUACUAGAUAAGUUUCUUCUCUCCUUCUCACUGAUUUUCUAUUAAUCAUCUAUAUAUUUGGUGUUUUAAAUAGUUUCUGAAAAGAUGAUUUUAGGUUUCAAAAACCUAAAAUUUAUGCUUUUAUUCGACUGUUUUUUUUUUUUUCCGAUUGAGAGUUUAAUUCAUGAUUUACUCAUCAUCAGAAUCAUUUUCAAAGAUUUCAUGUUUUAAAAUUCUUUCUAAAUCAUAUUAGGGUUCAUUCUUAACCUUGCCUGUAACUGUUUAAUCUUUCAUCCGAUGUUUAAUUUGGAUGUGGAUAUGUUAUUAAAGGAUCCUAAUCUCCAUACCCAUCUAAAAAUUUCCAAAAAAAAAUCGAUUCCAGUUUUGUCCUGAUUUUUCAUCUUCAUUCAUCUGCAAAAUAACUGUAGCUUCAUUCAUCUGCAAAAUAACUAUAGAUGAGGGAUGUAAAUGCUUGAAGUCAACUCUUGCAUGAGUUUUUUAAGUUAAAUCUUUGUUCUUUGAUCAAUCACCUUGAGUUCUCUAGGUUACAGGGGUAUUUCCUACAACUUUUUUUUAUGUGGGUUUUCCAUUGCAUCAGCUUCUCCUCCUGUUGAGAUUGUUGGUGGGUUUAUAUCAAAUGCUCUCGCCCCUUUGUUGAAAUGGCUGUGGGGAUUGAAAGCUAGUACAAAAACAGCAAUUACUGGUAGGCCUAUGAUAAAGUUUGAGAAUGGAUAUACAGUUUAGACUGUAUUUGAUGGGAGUAAACUUGGGAUUGAACCUUAUUCUGUGGAGGCUUGUGGAGUGGGUGUCACGUCAGCUUCCAUCUUCUUUAUCAUAAGAAUGGUGAGUAUGAUGAAGGGGUUUCAGGGUGUUCACAAAAAGUUUGCAAGGCCGGGAGAGACGCAACUCCACUCCGAGCUCUCAAGUGGUCAGAGCAUAAGGCGGUGACUGAAGACAAAGACAUACAUAUGUUUACAAGGCUCAGAGGAAUAGAAGAAAAACUUUUAGUGGAAGUGGUCGGACUUGGUAACAUGGAUUGAAUUGAAUUAUUAUGGAAAUGUGCAGAGGAUGCCGAUGAUGAUAAGUUUCUACAGGAAAGAUCAACAAAGGGAGAUCCACCAACAGGGUAAUCUCAUCUUAAUUUAGGAACAUUUUGUUUCAGUUAACACAAACUAGGUCACCCAUCCAUUUAUGAACGUCAACAUAGAACAUUAUAUGUCAGUCACAAAAAUUUGGGUCUUCAUGAUCAUCUUAGUAGGUUUACUGUGAUACUUGUAUACAUUUGUAUCUCCUACUCAUACUUUAAGUUCACUUCAAUUGAAGAAUCCU
This is a long non-coding RNA of Papaver somniferum (opium poppy), 1369 nucleotides long. RefSeq lists it as uncharacterized. NCBI's taxonomy places the organism in Eukaryota, Viridiplantae, Streptophyta, Magnoliopsida, Ranunculales, Papaveraceae. The transcript has 6 exons. The record is from RefSeq and is a predicted model, not a curated record.